This 297-nucleotide long non-coding RNA is filed under the name Helianthus annuus (common sunflower). Its description in RNAcentral is "hypothetical non coding rna". The record is from RNAcentral. Lineage: Eukaryota; Viridiplantae; Streptophyta; Magnoliopsida; Asterales; Asteraceae.
CAGGGGUUCCCAGUGAAGGUGUUGGUGACUCGAUUUCGAUUUUUAAAACCUGCGUAAAAUUUGGACAACAAUAGUCAUAAAAACGACCGUCUACUAAUUUGAAUCUUUUAGCAUUUACCUUUUCCUUGCAUUGAAUAUUAUCCUUUAGUAUAUAAGAAAGAACACUAGCGGCUCUGCAACUAGUCUGCAAAUGACACAUCAUCAGAUGAGGUUUGAAAUUAGAAACUGAGUAAAAUGCCAUUUUCGUCUCUAAGGUUUGGCCAGUUUUGCGACUUUCAUCCAAAGCGAGCCGGAUGA